CUGAGUGCAUUUCCUGCUGGAGCUACAGUCACCUGAGGAGAUUUCUCAUGCUGUGAAGCAGUAAAUCCUCCUUUCACCUGACAGAAUACAAAUUUAGCAGUUAAUAAUCCAGUGAAAUUCAGCAAGGAAAUAACUUUGUUGGAGAUAUGAAGUACUGAACCUGUUAAUUCUAAUGGCUGUACCCAUACGCUUUUCCCAUGCUCUUUCCCAAGGCCUCGGAAAGAAACAGAUCAUACUUCAUUGCAAGCUGCUAGUCAAAAUCUCUAUGGAAUAGCACAUGGGGCUGCAUCUGUCCUGUACUAACAACCCCAGAGAAAAACUUUCAUUAGAUCUUCCACAGGUGUAAGUGAAGUUUUCUAAUGAAACAAAGCCAUGCCAUGUUGUUUGGAUUUUACUGAGGAAAACAAGUGUUUAGACCUCUUUGGAGAAGUGACUGCAGUUAAGUAAUACAUGUAUCUAUCUAUAAAUAUAUAUGUAUAAUUUUAAUACAGAUCUGUGACAAUGUGUGUGGAAUAAAGCUUUUUAAAAAAAAAAAACUGUCAAACUAAACGUCCUCAGCAUUCUCACAAUUAAGUACAAGUAAAAUGUGUAUCUUACUGCUAGUAACAUGGCAACGUGUGGGAUACAUACAUGUAAAAAUCAUUCACUGCUGAAUAGUAUGACUGCACAGUUAGAAACUUGUGCUUAAACUGAGCUGAGGAUGCUUAUUCAUCCUUCCCUUGGUACUCAGGCAUGUGCAGACUAAUGUGUAAAACACUCUAAUAUUUUUUACAAAAAAUUUUAAAGUGCAGUUGUAGCAUUUCUUUUUAAUUUUCAUCACUGUUUAGAGUACUGCACUUUGGUUGAAUGAGAUUACCCAAGUUUUGGAAGGCAUAAGUCUGCUCUAGCUCUAACCACGUUAGAACAAACAAACUGAGCAGCAAAAGAGAUGUCCAAGCCUAUUUUUAAUCUCCCAACAGCUUUUCCAUAUCGCUCAUAAACAUGACAAAUUUGAGGACAGAAGCUAUUAGAAUUACACCACCACAGAAGGGAAGGAGUGGUCUGCAAUGCCCCAGGCUAAGAUUUCAAAGAUUGAGUAUUUGGAAAAUAAUAUAAGGUCAAACUAGCAA
Long non-coding RNA from Pezoporus occidentalis (night parrot), 1109 nucleotides. RefSeq lists it as uncharacterized. NCBI's taxonomy places the organism in Eukaryota, Metazoa, Chordata, Aves, Psittaciformes, Psittacidae. The record is from RefSeq and is a predicted model, not a curated record. The transcript is spliced from 2 exons.